This is a long non-coding RNA of Tupaia belangeri chinensis (Chinese tree shrew), 824 nucleotides long. RefSeq lists it as uncharacterized. The record is from RefSeq and is a predicted model, not a curated record. NCBI's taxonomy places the organism in Eukaryota, Metazoa, Chordata, Mammalia, Scandentia, Tupaiidae. The transcript is spliced from 4 exons.
GAGGCCGAGGUGGCUGGAAUUUGGGGGCAGAGCUUUGAAAAGGAGCUGUUACCCCGAGCAAGAGCGUCACACGUGCCUUGUGCGUGGGUGACCCCACCUCUGGCUGGGGUGAAGUAGCUCAUGAAAGGAAUGGAGCUGAAGAAGCCGGUAAAGGACCCCAAGAUGCGAGCGCAAGAUCCUCAAACGUACAGAAACGGCGGUAAUAUUCUGCAGGAGCGCCUUAUCCUGUGUGCGCUCUGAACUUGUGCUCUCCAACCUCAAGUUCCUCAAUCCUGUGUGACAUAAUCCAUUUACAACCCUCCCUGCCCAAGAGGAGAGAAAUACAGGCACGAAAUGGAUCCUGGCCGUGGUUAACGACUCUGUGUGGGGGGCCUGCGGUGGAGGAAAUUUCCAUGAAACAUUUGGCCCCUCGUCCUCAUGCUUCUGGAACAUCACUAAAUGCAGAGUCAUUGAGCACCUGAGCCGCGCCGUUCCACCAGGAGCAGUAAAAGAGAGCAUUUCACAGACGGGCCGGGAACGUUUUCUUUCAGCUCUCAGAGGUCUACUCUGAAAGCUGACAUUCAGUGAGAAAUUUGGAACAAGCAGCAGAGAGGGCGAAUGCACCAGGGAACGCGAAGUCCAGCCCAGUCUGCUACGCGCCGGGCAGCAGGAUGGUGGAGUAGCCAUUCCAGAUCUGGCGGUAAGAAAUCUCUUAAUUGCCGAAACAUGACUGCCUUGUACAAGAGGACUUUUGACAGACACUUAAACCAACCCAAACCUAUUGUUACAAAGGAAAGAAUGUGGGCUAAGAUCAACAGACAGAUUUCUAAAUCUAGAGUUUUUUC